This 253-nucleotide ribosomal RNA is filed under the name uncultured bacterium. RNAcentral's name for it is "partial 16S ribosomal RNA". It matches the Rfam family "Bacterial small subunit ribosomal RNA", at positions 524 to 776 of the family's 1533-position model. The record is from RNAcentral.
UACGUAGGGACCAAGCGUUGUUCGGAUUUACUGGGCGUAAAGGGCGCGUAGGCGGCGCGGUAAGUCACUUGUGAAAUCUCUGAGCUUAACUCAAAACGGCCAAGUGAUACUGCAGUGCUAGAGUGUGGAAGGGGCAAUCGGAAUUCUUGGUGUAGCGGUGAAAUGCGUAGAUAUCAAGAGGAACACCUGAGGUGAAGACGGGUUGCUGGGCCAACACUGACGCUGAGGCGCGAAAGCCAGGGGAGCAAACGGG